This 319-nucleotide ribosomal RNA is filed under the name Ruminococcus sp. RNAcentral's name for it is "bacterial SSU rRNA". It matches the Rfam family "Bacterial small subunit ribosomal RNA", at positions 1 to 318 of the family's 1533-position model. Lineage: Bacteria; Bacillati; Bacillota; Clostridia; Eubacteriales; Oscillospiraceae. The record is from RNAcentral.
UUGUUAAAGAGUUUGAUCCUGGCUCAGGAUGAACGCCGGCGGCACGCUUAACACAUGCAAGUCGAACGGACUGUCAGAGCUUGCUCUGAUAAGUUAGUGGCGGACGGGUGAGUAACACGUGAGCAACCUGCCUAUCAGUGGGGAACAACGUUUGGAAACGAACGCUAAUACCGCAUAACAUAGUUAGAGGGCAUCCUCCGACUAUCAAAGAUUUAUUGCUGAUAGAUGGGCUCGCGUCCGAUUAGGCAGUUGGCGGGGUAACGGCCCACCAAACCGACGAUCGGUAGCCGCGCUGAGAGGCGAAACGGCCACAUUGGGA